RNAcentral lists this non-coding RNA (25 nucleotides) under Drosophila erecta. The record is from RNAcentral. RNAcentral also lists the same sequence under 1 other name. Lineage: Eukaryota; Metazoa; Arthropoda; Insecta; Diptera; Drosophilidae.
UAAGAAGUAGUCAAGUGGUGGCGUG